Molecule: non-coding RNA, 2040 nt
Organism: Peromyscus maniculatus bairdii (prairie deer mouse)
Lineage: Eukaryota; Metazoa; Chordata; Mammalia; Rodentia; Cricetidae
Source: RefSeq, a predicted model, not a curated record
GUUUAUAAAAUAUUUAUAAAUCACUUACAGGGAUGCCAAGUCCGAUGUUAGAACUGAGGCUGCAGACUCCUUUCAGAUCCUUGUGAACAGGUGCUGUGGCAGACAUCGGUGAUCCCGUACUGGUGAGUAACAACAAGGCUGGUCUGGACUACCCCAUCAUCCACCGUCCCCCCGCCCCAGUUCCAAGCCUUUGCCUUUGAAUCACCUCUACACCAGAGCUACCAUUACCACUCUAACCCAGCUGCCAGCUGCUCUUUUCCUUGGGUGGGAAGCCUCCCUCGCCCCUCUCCGCCCACCUGCUCCUUCCCGCUGGUGCACAUGCACUCUGCCCAUGCACGGGCCAGUGCCUGGAGAGCGGGCACACCCUGGUCACACGGCCGGCCGAGGGUCUGGUCCCUUCCGGGGACCGAAUGCGGUAGGAGGCCGAGUCAAGGCCCAGGCUUCCCCCGUUUGCACGGUCCGUCCACAGACGUGCACAACCGAGACGCCCUCUCUAGCCUCCUGCCCUCGCAGAGCUACAGUUCGGAGGAUGGCCCGACGACGCUCGGACCACGAAAACCGUUAAACCCGGGCUUCGCGCCAGUCUCCUUCCAAAGCCCGCGGAGGAAAGCCGAGGACCGGGCGUGGAAAGAACCCGCGGAGGCGGUCCUGUGGGACCACAAGCUCGCGGCUGGCCAGGGCCCGGGGAGGCCUGCUCCCAGCUCAGCCCCGGGGCUGCAGGCUGGCUCGCACCCGGUGGGGCAAUGGCCUCCAACUGCCCUCCCUGCGGCCCGGCGCCGGGGGGAGGGGAGACGGAGAGGCCGUUAUUGGCGCCCACGGGGGUCGGGGGCGCCCCCGGGGCGGGGCCCCUGCAGCGGCGGCCUUACCUCUUAGGAAAGGGACCUUGUCCGAUCGCCCUCUCGGUUUGCACCAGGUGAAGCAGUGCGGGGCCGUCGCUCCGGGUCCUCCUCCGGUGGCCGCCAGCUCUGUCAGCAGCGGGCGACUGGCGCCUUGACGGGACUCGGCCGCGAGCGGCCUGCUGAUUGGCCGGGGCUCGCCACGUGACUGUGCCUGCGCCUCAAAGCGCGGAGGUGCGAGCCGGGCCUGAGCCUGCUGCAAGGCGGCCGAGGCUUGGAAGGUCGGUCUCGGUCUCCAUCUCGCAGCAGGCUGGGUGCCUUCGCUCCCGACCGACCUCCACACCCCAGGAAGUUGUGGGCUUGCGAGUAGAGGGCUGCUGUGAGGGGUUUGCUGCUUGCUUGCUUGAUUGAUUGAUUGGUUUGGGUUUUGCAUUUAUUGUUUAUUUAUCUGGACACAGUCUCAGCCUGGGGGGACCUUGGACUGAUCCUCCGGCUUACUGGCGGCAUGUACUACUGUACCCAGUUCCAAGGUCUUCAUUAUGCUUUGUAUUUCAGAUGAAGAUGGUAGUUUUAUUAUGUUUUUAUCAACUGGCAUGUGUGUGUGUGUACACGCUCGCCUGUGCACAGGACAACCUCCAGGAGUCAGUUCGCAGUUCUCGCCUUCCAACCAUAAGGGUCCGGAGGAUAUGAUAGUGCUCCAGUCAUCAGCUAUGCUGGUUGUUUUCUGUCAGCCCAACACAAGCUUGGUUCAUCUGGGAAGAGAGAACCUCAGUUGAGAUAUUGCCUUCAUCAGAGUGGCCUGUAGGAGUCUGAGGGUCACAGAGCAGGAUGCGGAGAAAAUGGCCACCACAAACCAGGAAGCAGACCCCCACAAAACCUAGCAGCUUGCAACUGGACUUUCCAGCAUCCGGAACUGUGUGGCAUGAAUGUGCGCUGCUGGGGCCACCCAGGCCCUGGUUGUUUCUGCUAAGCACAUGGAACUGAGGCAAGUGGCAUUUGGUGAAGAGACGUGAAAAGAAAACGGUGAAGAAAAGAGAAGAAAUAUAAAGGAAGGGACAGACAUCCUGCAGAAUGUAUGGAAGGGGCUGAAGACACGGAGGUAGAGAGCUGACCGAGCACAGACAAGCCUGGGAUUGAUACUCAGCAUUGUGCGUGCGCGCGCGCGCGUGCACACACACACACACACACACACACACACACACAC